UGUCAGGUUCCUCAGGACUGUACACACAAGU
This 31-nucleotide non-coding RNA is filed under the name Rattus norvegicus (Norway rat). The record is from RNAcentral. Lineage: Eukaryota; Metazoa; Chordata; Mammalia; Rodentia; Muridae.